GACGAACGCUGGCGGCGUGCUUAACACAUGCAAGUCGAACGGAAAGGCCCUGCUUUUGUGGGGUGCUCGAGUGGCGAACGGGUGAGUAAUACGUGAGUAACCUGCCCUUGACUUUGGGAUAACUUCAGGAAACUGGGGCUAAUACCGGAUAGGAGCUCCUGCUGCAUGGUGGGGGCUGGAAAGUUUCGGCGGUUGGGGAUGGACUCGCGGCUUAUCAGCUUGUUGGUGGGGUAGUGGCUUACCAAGGCUUUGACGGGUAGCCGGCCUGAGAGGGUGACCGGCCACAUUGGGACUGAGAUACGGCCCAGACUCCUACGGGAGGCAGCAGUGGGGAAUAUUGCACAAUGGGCGGAAGCCUGAUGCAGCAACGCCGCGUGCGGGAUGACGGCCUUCGGGUUGUAAACCGCUUUCGCCUGUGACGAAGCGUGAGUGACGGUAAUGGGUAAAGAAGCACCGGCUAACUACGUG
This 468-nucleotide ribosomal RNA is filed under the name uncultured bacterium. RNAcentral describes it as "partial 16S ribosomal RNA". It matches the Rfam family "Bacterial small subunit ribosomal RNA", at positions 28 to 507 of the family's 1533-position model. The record is from RNAcentral.